RNAcentral lists this ribosomal RNA (266 nucleotides) under uncultured Staphylococcus sp. RNAcentral describes it as "partial 16S ribosomal RNA". It matches the Rfam family "Bacterial small subunit ribosomal RNA", at positions 96 to 355 of the family's 1533-position model. Lineage: Bacteria; Bacillati; Bacillota; Bacilli; Caryophanales; Staphylococcaceae. The record is from RNAcentral.
CGGCGGACGGGUGAGUAACACGUGGAUAACCUACCUAUAAGACUGGGAUAACUUCGGGAAACCGGAGCUAAUACCGGAUAAUAUAUUGAACCGCAUGGUUCAAUAGUUAAAGACGGUUUUGCUGUCACUUAUAGAUGGAUCCGCGCCGCAUUAGCUAGUUGGUAAGGUGACGGCUUACCAAGGCAACGAUGCGUAGCCGACCUGAGAGGGUGAUCGGCCACACUGGAACUGAGACACGGUCCAGACUCCUACGGGAGGCAGCAGCC